This 73-nucleotide transfer RNA is filed under the name Pseudomonadota bacterium. RNAcentral describes it as "tRNA-Tyr". It matches the Rfam family "tRNA". Rfam says of the family: Transfer RNA (tRNA) molecules are approximately 80 nucleotides in length. The record is from RNAcentral. Lineage: Bacteria; Pseudomonadati; Pseudomonadota.
UGGGGGAUGUUCUAACGGUAGGAUGCUCGGCCGUACAACUGACGCGAUCCCGGUUCGAAUCCGGGUCCCCCAA